GGGAGGGGGUGGAGGGGGGAGUGGAGGCGCGAUACGAACCCGUGGGAGCCUCCCCAACCCCGCAGUCCCAGCGGCAAACUGUGCUUGGUCGGACGGAUGCCCGCGCGGAGGGGUAGCCACGGGAGUGCCUCCGCCCAUGACAGCAGUGUGCAGGAAGCUGACCUGGAGCUGGGAAGCCGGGAGAAGGCACGUGGGGUUCCACCUAGAUAAACCCCAAAAAGACAGCUCCAGUGAGGGACUAGCAAACCUGAGACCAGGUAGGGAGCAGCGUGUCCGCAGGGGCAAGGAUGGAGCACCAAGUGCCAGAGCCUGAGAUUUGGGCUCUCACAUCCCUCCUUGGGAGUACUUGUGGCCCCUGGAUAGUCAUCACGUGCAAGCCUCGGACCCCUUGGAGGGGUUAGGGAGGGAUCUGUGGUCCCCCUCUCAUGUCGGCUACUGAAACCCCUGGGUUCCUUGAAACAAUCUAGCCUACACCAGGAGCGUCCAUCUUAAAGCUGGUGGCUUUUGGUUCCCCAGGACCCUGCUUAACUCCCAUGACGUCAGAUCACCACUUAGAGCGUCUUGAUGCCCAGGCUAGAAGGAUCUCGGUUGCACCAGCUUUCCCCACUGC
RNAcentral lists this long non-coding RNA (610 nucleotides) under Homo sapiens (human). Its description in RNAcentral is "HSALNT0224352". The record is from RNAcentral. Lineage: Eukaryota; Metazoa; Chordata; Mammalia; Primates; Hominidae.